AACCUAAAAAAUUUUGGCGGUGUUUUAAAUAAUUUGGAGGAACCUGUUAUUUAAAUGAUAAUCCACAUUCAUAUCUUUUCCUAAAUUUUGUUUUGUAUAUCGUUGUUUUUAGAUAAUAUUUUAAAAUUAUUAUCAAGUUCGAUUCAUUCUAAAAAAUCAAAUCAAGGUGCAGCAUAUUUAGGUUAUAAUGGGUUACAAUAUUAUAUACAUAUUAUGGAUACAAAAUGAAAAUAUUGUUAAAAGUGGAUUCAAAAGUAAAAUGAUACUAAAAAGUUUAUUUGAUUAAGAAUUUAAAACAUGCACACAU
Molecule: ribosomal RNA, 307 nt
Filed under: Euscorpiops orioni
Lineage: Eukaryota; Metazoa; Arthropoda; Arachnida; Scorpiones; Euscorpiidae
Description: partial small subunit ribosomal RNA
Source: RNAcentral